AACGCGAAGAACCUUACCAGCCCUUGACAUGUCCGGGACCGGUCGCAGAGAUGUGACCUUCUCUUCGGAGCCCGGAACACAGGUGCUGCAUGGCUGUCGUCAGCUCGUGUCGUGAGAUGUUGGGUUAAGUCCCGCAACGAGCGCAACCCCCGUCCUUAGUUGCUACCAUUUAGUUGAGCACUCUAAGGAGACUGCCGGUGAUAAGCCGCGAGGAAGGUGGGGAUGACGUCAAGUCCUCAUGGCCCUUACGGGCUGGGCUACACACGUGCUACAAUGGCGGUGACAAUGGGACGCUAAGGGGCAACCCUUCGCAAAUCUCAAAAAGCCGUCUCAGUUCGGAUUGGGCUCUGCAACUCGAGCCCAUGAAGUUGGAAUCGCUAGUAAUCGUGGAUCAGCAUGCCACGGUGAAUACGUUCCCGGGCCUUGUA
Molecule: ribosomal RNA, 428 nt
Filed under: uncultured Alphaproteobacteria bacterium
Lineage: Bacteria; Pseudomonadati; Pseudomonadota; Alphaproteobacteria
Description: bacterial SSU rRNA
Rfam family: Bacterial small subunit ribosomal RNA
Source: RNAcentral